Molecule: long non-coding RNA, 531 nt
Organism: Aedes albopictus (Asian tiger mosquito)
Lineage: Eukaryota; Metazoa; Arthropoda; Insecta; Diptera; Culicidae
Exons: 2
Source: RefSeq, a predicted model, not a curated record
CGCUAAGAAAAUGUUACACUAAAAUGAGUAAGAUUCACACAAAACUGAGCUAAACUGGGACAGCUCAAAAAAUGAGUAAAUUGCAUUUCCAGCGAUAGCGCUGGACCAAGUGCAAAAAUCCAACUGGUGUAAGCCGUAUCCAGCUUUUUACGCUAACGUGAGGGGUGAUUCGAAUAUGACGUUUCUUGCCGACAAUCUAAUUUCAGUUCAAUGCUGUCUUAGUAGGCUGUUUUAUGAGUUUGUUGAUUGAAGUGUCAACAUUUUUCAUUUGAUUAAUUUCACACCAACAGUGAUCCAAAGCGUCAACUACGAGCAUUUUUAUCGGAAAUCAAUUGAAAGUCUGAGAGCUGAAAUCAUCUGAAUUUAACUACAAAGCUCUGCCAAUUCUCACGCACUCUGAUUUGCGUUUUGAAGGUGGUUUUCUAAGCAAAUGAUUCAACUUUUGGCAGCACAUUAUUACCAUAAUAGAACUUUAUAAUAUGCUCUUAUUAUGGGAAUCUAAAGAAUAAACUCGUUAUAUUACCAGACGAA